RNAcentral lists this long non-coding RNA (755 nucleotides) under Bemisia tabaci. Its description in RNAcentral is "lncRNA ENSSSA2NGG007602". Lineage: Eukaryota; Metazoa; Arthropoda; Insecta; Hemiptera; Aleyrodidae. The record is from RNAcentral.
UUAUGAUCUUCCUCUGUAAUGACUUAAUUUUCCCAAUUUUUCCUUUUGAGAUCAUAAGUUCAUGACUGUAAUCCUGUUAAUCGGGUAAGCUCAUGUAACAUUGUAACUUCGUUUUUAAGCGUUUCAAUUCUAUCUGAAACAAAUAAAAUGCUUUUCAUCGUGGGCGAUUUCGUUUCACUUAAUGCAAUCGCUGACGUAUUUCUCGCGAGAAGCGAGGGAGUACCCUCACCGCUCGUUCACCCUGUAUAAACUCCCAUUCCGGUUGUACAGGUCGGCGAAGCAUGGUACCGGAGGGAUCCGAUAUCGAUCCCUGGGGGUCCGUUUAUGAAUGAAGCCAUUUGAACUUGAACUUUUUCGCGCUACCGCGUCAACGUCGUAUUGUCGUUCCGUCGCUUUGUCAUGAACCGUGCCAAUGCAGUCAACUUCAGUGGUCCUAAAGUUAACGGUUAUUUCUAUCAGCACAGAUGAGCUUUCUGAAUUUAAAGUGUCCUCGCAGUUUGUACAAUCUCUGCAUUGAAGUAGUCGUGUCCGUUUUGAAAAAUGUAGAGGAGCCAGCUAAAAGGAGCACGCUAGUGGAGAAAUUAGCCCCAUCAAUACUUGAGGAUGUUAUGCUAUUCGCUACUUGGAACACCCGCUCUUGGAGCCAGGACUGGUCCUCACUUUUGACUGCCUCCAUUCGCGCCGCUGUGGUGCCAUAUCAGCGCGACAUACUUCAGAAUUUGAAAAAUCAAUGCAAGCUUGGCGUAUUGGUUUGA